This 484-nucleotide long non-coding RNA is filed under the name Homo sapiens (human). RNAcentral describes it as "non-protein coding lnc-ZNF730-15:1". Lineage: Eukaryota; Metazoa; Chordata; Mammalia; Primates; Hominidae. The record is from RNAcentral.
GGCUAGAGUGUGAUAAAAAAAUAUUUAAAAGGUCAACUUCACUGAGGAGGAAGGAGCAUAGGAAAACACAGAAAAGAGCAAAGAAGAAAAACAACAGCAGGUCACUGCUACAGUGUGAUAAAAAAAUCUAAAAGUCAACCUCAGUGUGCAGGAAGGAGUGUAGGAAAAUACUGAGAGAAAAGAACAAAGAAGAAAAACAACAGCAAAUCACUCUAUGUACUGUGGAAAGAAACUGAAAAUGGGGUUGGAAAAAACAGAGGAAGAAGGUCCGAGUAGUCCCAGGUAUUCAAGGGGCCGAGAUGGGUUGACCACCUGGGCAAGACCGGGGAAGUGAAGGCCAGAGUGAAUCACCAUUGUAUCCUCCUGCUGGACCUGAACGGUACUGCCACUGGUGAAAAUCAUAUGGACGAUCUUAGACAUGGCAAGGCGAGAGCCAUCUGGUCAACCUUAGACAUGGAAAGCUGGAGGCUAAGUCCAACGCUUG